UUUGUGGAGAGUUUGAUCCUGGCUCAGGACUAACGCUGGCGGCGUGCUUAACACAUGCAAGUCGAACGUGUUCGUAUUUGGUAGCAAUAUUGAAUACGGAAAAGUGGCGAACGGGUGAGUAAUACGUAGGUGAUCUGCCUCGGAGACGGGAACAACCCAGGGAAACUUGGGAUAAUGCCCGAUACGACAUUCUGGAGGGAUCUGGAAUGUGAAAAGGGGUAAUACGCUCUGAGAUGAGCCUGCGGCCUAUCAGUUAGUUGGUGGGGUAAAAGCCUACCAAGACGAAGACGGGUAGCCGGCCUGAGAGGGUGAACGGCCACACUGGGACUGAGACACGGC
RNAcentral lists this ribosomal RNA (339 nucleotides) under Candidatus Rifleibacteriota bacterium. RNAcentral's name for it is "bacterial SSU rRNA". It matches the Rfam family "Bacterial small subunit ribosomal RNA", at positions 1 to 330 of the family's 1533-position model. Lineage: Bacteria; Candidatus Rifleibacteriota. The record is from RNAcentral.